AGCGAACGCUGGCGGCAGGCCUAACACAUGCAAGUCGAACGCACCGCGAGGUGAGUGGCGCACGGGUGAGUAACACGUGGGAAUGUAUCCUUUGGUUCGGAAUAACGUCUGGAAACGGACGCUAAUACCGGAUGAGCCCUUAGGGGGAAAGAUUUAUCGCCGAAAGGAGCAGCCCGCGUCUGAUUAGGUAGUUGGUGGGGUAAAGGCCUACCAAGCCGACGAUCAGUAGCUGGUCUGAGAGGAUGAUCAGCCACACUGGGACUGAGACACGGCCCAGACUCCUACGGGAGGCAGCAGUGGGGAAUAUUGGACAAUGGGCGCAAGCCUGAUCCAGCCAUGCCGCGUGAGUGAUGAAGGCCUUCGGGUUGUAAAGCUCUUUCGCACACGACGAUGAUGACGGUAGUGUGAGAAGAAGCCCCGGCUAACUUCGUGCCAGCCGCCGCGGUAA
RNAcentral lists this ribosomal RNA (448 nucleotides) under uncultured bacterium. Its description in RNAcentral is "partial 16S ribosomal RNA". It matches the Rfam family "Bacterial small subunit ribosomal RNA", at positions 29 to 523 of the family's 1533-position model. The record is from RNAcentral.